CAGUAGCCGCGGGAAAACGGAGGGUGCAAGCGUUAAUCGGAAUUACUGGGCGUAAAGCGCACGCAGGCGGUCUGUCAAGUCAGAUGUGAAAUCCCCGGGCUUAACCUGGGAACUGCAUUUGAAACUGGCAGGCUAGAGUCUUGUAGAGGGGGGUAGAAUUCCAGGUGUAGCGGUAAAAUGCGUAGAGAUCUGGAGGAAUACCGGUGGCGAAGGCGGCCCCCUGGACAAAGACUGACGCUCAGGUGCGAAAGCGUGGGGAGCAAACAGGAUUAGAUACCCCCGUAGUCACUGUCUCUUAUAC
RNAcentral lists this ribosomal RNA (301 nucleotides) under uncultured bacterium. Its description in RNAcentral is "partial 16S ribosomal RNA". It matches the Rfam family "Bacterial small subunit ribosomal RNA", at positions 509 to 807 of the family's 1533-position model. The record is from RNAcentral.